GCCUCAGAGGGACACCCAACUCGGGAGGCAGUGGACGGUCCCGGUGCCCCUCAGCCGUGUCUACAGGGGUGCGCGAGGGUGUUGAGCAGGCAGGAACUGAAGAGGUCCGGAGGUUUCCGAACGCUGCGUGGUGCUCAGCCGGGAGACGGCAGGUCAAGGGCACCGAGUUCCAGUGGGAAUCACUCAGGACGCGCUUCAUGAUGCUGAGACUCCUUCCUUAACCGAGACAAACUGGACCCUCGGUCCUCAAUCUGUCCUCUGCCCUGAUCCCCCAUAUCUCUCGGCCGCCACUCUGGUGUCCACCGCCCUGUCUGCUCCCUUUGCUCCAUCCAUACUGCGAGCCCUCCACCCUCACACAGCUACAGCCAGAGCAGCACACCCACCCCCACAGCACGGUCACUGCAACGGGGACCAGUCCACCUUGGGGCUCCACCUGUCUGCAGGCACUGGGCAGGAGGGACAGGGGCCCAAACCCCAGGGCUCUGGCACACAGAGGCCGGGCUGUCGGUUGGGGGUCCUGCUUCGUGCCGAAUGUGUCUUCCCCACGCCUGCUUGCCGGAACUCACAGACUUGCCGGCAUGUGUGCUCUUGGGAGCUGGGAGCUCCCUGAGAUGUCAUCACUUUACAUUCCUUCUCCAGGAACUUCGAGUUCUCCGUUUCCUUGGAGUCCAUCCCUGGAAAGUUCCCACAUUCCCUGAUGGUGUUGCUUGCUUCCUCAGGCUUCUUCCAGCGGGGCUGUGCCGGGACACCUCUCCCGGCCCCUCUGGGCUGGCGCAGGUGGGCUCUCCCCUGAAGGCAGCUGUGGGGUGUCUGAGGUGUGGGUGAUAGCAGGUCUCUCAUGGGACUGGGUCUCCGGGCUUCCAGCCGGGGAGGGGGACGCAGCAGCAGCACAGGUCCUGGGAGGACAGGGCACGUCAGCAGCUGAGGCUCCUGGGGCAGGUCCCUGCCACAGGGACAGCCCCAGUCCCAGGGAGCCCCAGCGGCUGGGACUGUGGACUGUCAGCUGGGAUUGGCCUCGGGUGAAUACUGUGGGGCUCAUGGGGGUGAGGCUUGCUGGGUUCCCCCGUGCAGUGCAGCCCCUCUAAGGGGAUGUCCCCCCCGGGGCCCAGCUGCUCUGCACUGGGGGACACAGGGCUGCAGGUCGAAGGCUGCCCUCACUUCUCCACGUGACCACACCUGCCUGUUGCGCUCUCAGCACUUCUGCUGCCUCUUCGCCGCAGUCGGAGAUUCCCCAGAGCUAUUUCCGUCGUCUGUAGCUGUGUUUUGUAACCGUUCUUGUUUUUGUGGGGGACCCGAGCGUCGGGGCCCCCACAGCCCACCAUCUUGCUGAUGUCACCAUCUGCUCUGGGAGUUUCCACAGCCCCCCCCCGGGGAGCCCCGCGUGUAGCCAGUGUUGGAGCAUACCCCACACACAGCUGUUGUGUGGGACAGUGUUGUGUGGGACAGGGGAGAAACACGGUCUGUUCCUGAGACCUGUUUUAGGGCGCUACACAGGGAGCUCUGUCCUGCUUGGAGAAAUAAGGGAUGAAAAUACAUAACAGAAAAGAUGGGCUCAGAAACGUUCCAGCACAAAAGGCUGCGGUUGUCCUCACUAGCUCCUUCCCCCGAGAGGACAUGCUGCACCUUCCCGCCACGUGGAGGUGGGUGAUGACGGUGUCACCCUGGCACCGGGAGGGAGGAACAAGGGCAGUUGUUAUAAGUUUGCACUGUCUGAAUGAACAGACCAUCUACUGGGUGGAGACUUCUAGAUGGUGCCAAGAACACAGUGAGAUGAACGGACAGCUGUCACCUCUAAGAAGAUUAUGACUGAGUCGAGGACCCAGCAUCACUCGGAUUCAAAAUGGAGCCAGCGUCUAUCUGGAAAGUUCUGACAUUUUCUGCUGAGGAUUAGGACAGGACUGAAACAGCCCUAUGACUUUGCAUCUUCUACCAUCUUCAUAAAGUCUGAGCUGUGCUUACCUGGGCACCUCGCCAGCCGGUCAGUGUGUGCUCACGGGGGUCCUACUAUGGGCCAGGGCCUGUGUGGACACUGGGCAUGCUGAGGGGAAGAACACAGGGUCCCAGCCCUCCAGCUGCUCACACAGAGUGAUAUCUUCUGUCUCCUGUGGCAUGAGGUGCAGACUUUUACAAACUCGAAGAUUUUAUGACCCACUCGCUUCUGCCUUCAUUAUGGGGGACACUUUCAUUGCAGAGCAGACUGUCUGGGGGCUUCCAGGCCCACCGAGGCUCUGCAUAUCAGCAGGAGUUAAGCUGGUUCAACAGUCUCCUGCACGAUCCUGCCUUCUUCCCUGGGGGAUGGGGAGUCAAGGAAAUUGACUCUAGCAGCAAAUGCUAAGAAUAAGGGUCCUUUGAUAGAGGAUGUGCAUGGAAGAAGGGCUUGUGGACAUCUGGGGAACCAGGACAGGUCCUGGGGCCGUGGGAGGAGCGAGCUGCACAGGAGACCUUCUGGGAGAAGCGAGGAAGGAGCCGAGAGCAAAGCUGGAGCCACAGGCCAGUGUGGGGAAAUGAGAAGCCCCAGAGGCCUGACCUCCAGGGUCCCUUCUCAGCGGCAGCCCCUGGGAGGCCCCACGGGAUGGGCUCUAGGCGGGCGCACAUGGCUCAUGGACAGUUCUCUUGCAGGGCUGUGUGCUGGCCGAGGAAGCAGGGGGACCGAUAGUGAGUGUUUCUUGUGGAUACCCUCCUCACCAUUGUUUACAGCCCUGAGGCUUCUUCUCUAGCUCUUGUCAAGGGGCAGAGGAUUCUCCUUCCUCUUUUUUUUUUUUUUUAAAUUUUAUUUAUUUAUUUGAGGGAGAGCACAGAAACAGGGGGAGAGGCAGAGGGGGAACAGGCUUCUGCUGAGCAGAGAGCCCAAUGCAGGACUUGAUCCCAGGACCCUGGGAUCAUGACCUGAGCUGAAGACAGAAACUUAACUCACUGAGCCACCCAGGCGCCCCAUUUUUAAAAGAUACAAACGUCAUAUGACAUCAUAUUAGUUUCAGGUGCACAACAGGAGCCAAAAUUUGUAUAUAUUGGGAAAUGACCACCACAAUAAAUGUAGUUAACAUCCACACCACACAGUUAACAAUUUUUUGGUUGCUUUUUCUGGUUAUGAGAACUCAUAAGUUCUACUCUCUCAGCCGCUUUCAAGUAAGCCCUACACGGCUGGUCACUACAGUCCCCAUGCUGCUCGCUAGAGCCCCAGGACUAGCUUUGUAACUGGAGAUUCGGAGCUUUUGGCCCCCUUCGCCCGUUUCACUCGGGCAACCAUCUAUCUGUUUUCUGUAUCUCCGAUUUCUUUCCUUCUUUUCUUCCUUUCUUUGACACUCCACAUGUAAGUGAUGUCAUAAUAAAUACAGUAUUUACGUUCCCACGUCCAAUUAUCGUAGUGUAAUACUUCCAGACCCAUCCACGAUGACACAAGUGGCAAUAUUUCCUCUUUUCUGUGUAAUAUUACGUGUAAUAUUCCAUUACACAAUUACCCACACCAAAUUUUCUUUACCCAUUUGCUCAUCAGUGGUCAUGUUUUGGCUGUUGUAAAUAAUGCUGCAGAGAACACGGGGGCGCAGAUGUGUUUCCAAUUCAUUCAGCUGUAUUCCCAGUAGUGGGGCCGCUGGAUCUAGGGCAGAUCUACUCAGGACCGCCCGACUGUUCUCUGCAGCGGCUGCCACUCCUUACCCUCCCAGCAGCAGCGCGCAGGGUUCCCUGUUCUCCUCAUCCUCGCCGACACCUGCCAUCUUGUUUUCUGGGUGAGCGCCAUUUGGACAGGUGCAAGGUGACAUCUCAUGAAAGAGCUCGCUGAGAACCGGCGAACUCAUCAGAUCCAGCCCCAGAAUCUGCUUUUUUCCAGGGACGCCCCCCAAGCCCUUCCUCAGCACCUGGCCCAGCUUUCUGGCACCUGCCGAGGAUGACCCUAUGAUGCUGGACUGCUAUCAGGAAUGCAGAAUCCACUCUCAGCAAGGGAGAAUCCCGCUGCCCUCUUGAGUCCAUGAUGUCCGUGGGCCAUUCAGGAAGGAUGGCUGAAGUCCCCCUCGUUAACCUGAGUCAGCCAGACUCGGGGAAAUACGCCUGCAAAUACUGCCAGAGAGAGGUCCCGCGCCAGUGCUCCCCAGCCACAGACGUCCUUCUCGUGGUUCCAGGUGGGAAGGAAGCAUCCCAGAAAGAUCUGGUCUGACCCAUCCGGCCCUCCCACAUCAGAGGAUGAAGAGGGACUCAGAGGAGAGGACAGAAGUUUACCUAAACCUUCCUUCCUGACUCAGAGAGGCUGGUGGUGACACCAGGAGAGAACGUGACUCUUCAGUGCCAGGAGACAGACCUCAUGAUGGCAUCUGUCACAUUUGCUCUGCUGAAGCCAGGUGCUCCUGAGCCUGCUGAUGUCUGAAGACCAUCGGGAACAUGGCUCACCUCGCCCUCGGGACUGUGAGAGCCAGGGACGGUGGCAGCUACUGUCUACUCUCAAGCCGAGGCUCCUUUCUGGGCCUCACAGCCCAGCAACAGCUUAAAACUGUAGGUGAGAGGUAAAGGGAGGACGAAUUUAUAAUUAAAUAACCCUAACCCCUCACUGUUGUGCCCUGUAUCCUUGCCAUGGUCAUGUCCCUUACGCAAACACAGGCGCAGACAGAAGCAGACACAGUCGGAUACAAUGUUGCUCUGGACUUUGCGGUUACUUGCUGGAUCACUGAAGAACAGGAAAAAAUGAAACUUCUCACUUUUACCUUCCCUUAUUCCUCCUCUGAUGCCUUGCCCUUCUCCACGCAGACCCAAGUUUCUGAUUCACAUCACCUUCCCUUCACUGAAGAACUUCUGGUAACACUCCGUGCGAGGCAGGUGUACCAGCAACAAAUUCCCUCAGUUUCUGUCGGUCUGAGGAAGGCUUUACUGCUUCACUUUGAAGGACAAGGUCUCAGGGUCCAGGAUGUUAGAUCAGCAUUUUAUUUCUCUCAACACGCUGACAUCCCACAGCACUGUCUUCCCAGGUGGUUCCCAGGGAGUCGGAUGCGAGCCUCACUGUCGCUGCUGUACAGCCGAGCCCUCUCCUCUCGCUUCCUUCAGGAUUCCCUCUGACUUUCUACCUUGAAAGGGUAUGCACAGAGGUAGCUUCUCGGGCUUUAUUUCCGAUGUUUAUCCUCCUUGCUGUUCUCUCAGUUUCUUGGAUUGCGGUUUUGUGUCUGACAUUAAUUUGGAGAAAAUUCAGCUGUCAUUUCUCUUAUCUCUUGUGUUUCUCCCUCUCUGCUCAUGUUGGUACCUAUGACGUGCGGGUCACACCAUCGUCCACAGCCCUUGGACCCUCCAUUCUGGGUUCUUCCCAGCUGGUUUCUGCUUGCUUCCUGGGUUCGGAGGCUUCUGCUGGCGACUCCUCAGGCACCGAUUUCCUCCCUCGGCCGUGCCCAUCGAGGCAUUCUUCGUUUCUGGCACAGUGUUUCUGGUCUCCAGAGCUUCUUUUGGAGUCUUUCUCGGGAUUUCCACCUGCUUGCUUACACCGCCCAUCUGUUCCUGCCUGCUGUCUGCUUUACCUGGGGCAGCCCCAGCAUGUGAAUCAGGGUGGUUUUAAGCUCCUGAGAUGAUCCUUCCAACAUUUCCGCCGGAUCUGCAUCUGGUUCUGCUGCUGCUGUGUCUCUUCCAACCGCUUGUUUGGCUUUUGGUACACCCUGUCCUUUGCUCCUGAUGGCCAGCCACAACGCGCCAGGCAAAGGAACUGCUGGAAACUGGCCUUUAGUGACCUGGUGCUGAGGGGCUGGGAGCCUUCUAGGGUCCUGGGAUCAUGGCUCUGGCUUGCAGGAACCUGUGCCCCUGGGCUGUGACCCUCACAGGGCUUCUCAGUCCCCCUGCUGUGGUGGGACAUGGUGGCCAGAGCUGGCUAGGGUUGGGUGUUUCUCUCCUUCCAGGUCACUUAGGCUCUGAUCAGACCCCAGGAGGCGAGGCUCAGUAUUUCUUUCUUUUCUGUGUAAUAUUACGUGUAAUAGAACUCUGCUUUAUUUCCAAGUAGAUUUUCCCCUCUCCCCACCAGAAGCAGAGGGGGAUUUUUCUUGGCUCUUCACCAGAAGAACCUGACAGAGCUCCAGGAGGUGAAACUCCCAGACCCCAAUGCCCGAGCCCCUGUGACCAGCUCCCCGGAGUUCCUAACUUGCAGACUUGUCCAAGCCAAGUAUCCCUACCUGGCACGGGUUCCCACGGAGGUUUCAGCUUGUGGGAUCUUGCUCGGCAAACUGUGAUUCUCUGGACUCCCAGGUUGGCUUCUGAGAGCCCCGCAGAGGGCUGCUCUGUGACCUCAUUGCCAUUUCAGAUCCAACAAGAGUUAGAGACUUCUCAGUCUGUUCUGCUUUUUACUCUGUUACCGUGGAGUGACGACUUCCAUGCUCAACCAGAAAUCAGAAGCCAAGACCUCUGUCAUCUCGAUCUGGGGAAAUCCUUAGUCAGGGACUCUGUCUUGCUUAGGGACCAGGGCCUCCAUCAUCAGAGAGGACACACACAAGAGCACUGUCUCUUCAGUCUAUUGUUCUCAGCACCACGCUGGGAGAACAGAGGCCCUGGGAGCCAGCACGAGCUGAGACACAUUGGAAGGGACCCUUGCGCACAGAGUGGGAGGCAGGACAGUGACUUUCUCCCCCACAUGACCCAACCUGUGACUAGUAGCAAUCUCUGCCUUUGGGGGUUUGAGGAUUUCCCCUUUCACCAUCCAUUCUCCUCCUUGCAUUAUUUGUUCCCUGUCAUGAUGCAGCACACGCAGAGCAGACCUCUUCUUUGGCCCUCGCCAAUGUACAUUUUACAUAUUUUUAAUUGAUUAUGAAUUUUAAGAAAGCAUUGUCCUAGAGGCCAUGGUAUAUAAUGCAUUCUGUGUCCUGGUGCUUCUGUUUCUGUUCCCUGAUGACUCCGGAUGGCAGCUCACUGACCAGCAGGCACAAGCGGGCUCUGAACAUGACAGUCAGAGUAGGAGGGAGGGAGGGUGCUCUGCGGUCAGGGGUGAGCGCUUGUCUCUUUCCAUUUCCUCAGAUAUGGCACCAGGAAAUCACACCAAGAUUAACCUCCUCCGACUGGGUCUGGCGGCCCCCUUUCUGAUUAUUACGUCCUGGCUGAAGCCUGGCUUCCACAAGGAGCCUCUGCGCAGACCCAAACCCCACAGCUGUUGAGGGGAAUGAUGGGUGUUGAUGAAGUUGGACCCACUGACCGUGAACAGUUUCCAGUAGAAUGCGCAUUCUCACCUCUGCUGAGAGCCACUCCGGGACUAGAUGACGGUCUCCUCUUCUGUACUCCUCACCUGGGACAGAGAACAGGACAGCACCUAAGAAUUCAUCCCACAAAUGAUUACUUCAUGCAACGCCGAACACUCCAGCACUCCUGUUGUUGCACCAACAGGACAUGCCACUUGGGUCCCACCCCAAAUGUCCAUACACAGACGAACCUUUUUCUGGGAUCAUUACUCUAGCUAUUUGCUGUGUCCUUCUUUCCCAUUUUCCUGAUAGCGAAUGAUACUGAGUGUCUGCUCAUGUACUACUGACCUUUCUAAAGAUGUUUAUUAAAAUACAAUCAACAUAUAAUGCUAUACUAGCUUCGGGCACACAACACACUGAUUCAACGAUUCUAUACACUCCUUGAUGCUCACCGUGGUAAGCACAGUCACCAUCGGUCACUACACGACCUUUAUUUUAAUUCCCGAUAAAGUAUCUGAUUAAAUAUUUGCCCAUUUUUAAUUGGAUUAUUUGUCCUCUUAAUAAUGAAUUGCAAGAAUAUAUACAUACUCGAGCCACAAGUCUGUUAACAAACACCUACUCUACCCGUAUUUUUUCUUAUAGUGUGUGACUUGUCUUUUCAUUUUUAAACCUCUCUUAAAGAGAAGUUUUAAGUUUUUGAUUAAUCUCACCAAUUAUGAAUUAUUCUGUCCUCUGUGGUUCGAGUUUUUGUGUCCUAAGGAAUCUUUGCUUAACUCAAGGUCACAAAGAUCUUUUUCCUACAUUUUCUUAUGUAACUAUUAUAGUUUCAGACUGCAUUUACAUCUUAAUCUUUUUUUCUCUAAAGAUUUUAUUUUUAUUUAUUUAUUUUAGCAAGAAAGUGUGCGCAUGCGUGGGAGGCAAAGAGUAAGAAUACUUGAGUUGAAGUCUCCUCCUUCUAGGACUGCGUGUGUCUGUUCCCGAAAGUUCGCAGGUGGAAACCUUAACCCCCCAAUGUGAUGGUGUUGGGAGGUGGGGCCUUUGAGAGGUAAUUAGGUCAUAAGGAUGUGGUCUUCAUGAAUGGGAUUAGUCUCUUCUUAUAAGAGUCUCUUUUUAUAAGAAAGAUGAUCUCUCUUCACCAUGUGAGCUUAAAGGGCAAAGGCAGCCAUCUAUAAACUGGGAAGAAGGCGCUCACUAAGAAUCCCGUGUUAGCACCCUGGUCUGGGACUUCCAGCCUCCAGAACAGUGGGAAGUAAACAUGUGCUGGUAAAGUAAACAUGGGCCACCCGGUCUGUGGUCCUCCGUUAGGGCGGCCUGAGCUGACGGACCCCCGCAGGUGGGACAGGGGAGGAGUGCAAGUCCUCCCUUUCUUGGAAUACCCACUGGGAUUCUGUGGUUUUAGGUCACCAAGCAGUGAGCCCUGUCCUGUUUGGAGUAUCGGGGAAUGAAAGGAGACAAUGGAAAAAAUGGCUUCAAAAGCCUUUCCCCGCCAGAGCUAAGGCUGACACACGCACUUCUCUGCGAGGACAAGGUUAUCCCCAUCUCCGAGCCAGCCCUUCUCCCCUCAGGUCGGCGUGGGUGACUAUGGGGUGGUGUUAGAAGUGGUGCUCACUUCGCGGAGGAAGAUGGUGAGUUCUGGGGACCUGGCAUCUUUUCACAUCCGUGGAAAAAUCUCUGAGGGGCGCUCCCACUGGGCAUCCUCUCAGUCAGCCACUGUGCAUUUGCUGAGGCCCUACUGUGCACCAGGACCCCUGUCCACAGAUGCCAAGGUUCCCAGCACAGCGUCCCUGCUUUCUGGGCGAGGGACAUCCCACCUCCCGUAGCAUGAGGACAUCCACUUCUAUGAACCUGCUCGAGACUUUACAACCAGAGGGAUGUUAGCAUCCUGGUGACAGCAGUCAGUCCGCUUCUCGCUCCCUUCUGAGCACAAAUCCACGUCCUUAUGUGAACGGAAGCACCUCUGCACAGCUCAUUGGGACGCCAGAGACCCAUCCCCGUGCGCACGGAAGGCUCCCAGUCUCGGUUGGGAGGCAGUGCUGCCAAGAGAAACUGAGAUGGGUGCCCUGGCGCCACCUUCUGGGAAACAGAAGAAAGGAUGCUACCAACCAGCGUGUUGAACCCUGAGAAUCAAACAGAGAAGGUGCUCCCUCCUUCCAGGGCGGGGGCAGAGAGCCUUCUCACCAAACACGGAAAAAUCACGGCAGCAUAGCAUCACGAAAAGCAAAUGACAAUUUCCCAAUAACCAACGAAUCCAAAGACAAUACUGAGAUCUGAGAAAGAAUUCAAAAGAGCUGUGGUGGGGCACCUGGGCGGCACAGGCCAUCGAGUAUCUGACUAACUCUUGCUUUCAGCUCAUGUCAAUGUCAGGGUCUUGAGACUAAGCCCCACAUCUGGCUCCGUGCUGGGUGUGGAGCCUGGUUAGGAUUCUCCCUCCUUCUCCCCCUGGCCUUUUACUCCCCACACCUGCAGCCCCACUCUCUGUGCUCUCUUAAAAACAAAACAAAACAAAACAAAACUGAGCACAUGGCUGGCUCAGUGGGUGGAGUGUGCAAUUCUUGAUCUUGGGGUUGUGAUUUCAAGCCCCACGUUGGGCAUAAAACCUACUUAAAAAUAAAAUUUUUUUAAAAAGUGAAUUCAAAAGAGCUGCAAUGAAGACAUUCAGUGAGCUACAAGAAAACUCAGGAAGUCAGUACAAUGAACUCAGGAAUAAAAUUAAUGAACAGAAGGAGUAUCUUACCAAAGAGACUGAAAUUCUAAAAAAGAGCCAAACAGAAAUUCUAGAGCUGAAAAACUCAAUAAAUGAGAUGGACACUACAUUAGGAAGCACUGGAAAUAGAGCAGAUCACCUGGAGGAGAGACCCAGGGGCCCCAAGAACUAAGAUUUUUAAAGCAAAUAAACCGUACAGGAGGGGCGCCUGGCCAGCUCAGAUGGUGCAGUGUGUGGCUCUUGAUCUUAGGAUUCUGGA
This is a long non-coding RNA of Mustela lutreola (European mink), 10087 nucleotides long. RefSeq lists it as uncharacterized. NCBI's taxonomy places the organism in Eukaryota, Metazoa, Chordata, Mammalia, Carnivora, Mustelidae. The record is from RefSeq and is a predicted model, not a curated record. The transcript is spliced from 4 exons.